UAGGAGGUUGUAUAUAGGGAGUACGGGGAGUUUUGAUCUCCCAGGUGCAGGUUCGAUUCCUGUCUUUCUAA
Molecule: transfer RNA, 71 nt
Filed under: Pipa carvalhoi (Carvalho's Surinam toad)
Lineage: Eukaryota; Metazoa; Chordata; Amphibia; Anura; Pipidae
Description: tRNA-Gln
Rfam family: tRNA
About the family: Transfer RNA (tRNA) molecules are approximately 80 nucleotides in length. Their secondary structure includes four short double-helical elements and three loops (D, anti-codon, and T loops).
Source: RNAcentral